AACGAACGCUGGCGGCAUGCCUAACACAUGCAAGUCGAACGCUUCCGGGGGUUUCGGUCCUCCGGGGGAGGUGGCGCACGGGUGAGUAGCGCGUGGGAACCUGCCCUGUUGUGGGGGAGUAACCGAGGGAAACUUCGGCUAAUACCGCAUACGCCCGAGGAGUGAUCUUCGGGGAAAGAUUUAUCGCAGCAGGAGGGGCCCGCGUCGGAUUAGCUGGUUGGUGGGGUAACGGCCCACCAAGGCGAUGAUCCGUAGCGGUCUGAGAGGAUGAUCAGCCACACUGGGACUGAGACACGGCCCAGACUCCUACGGGAGGCAGCAGUGGGGAAUAUUGGACAAUGGGGGCGAACCCUGAUCCAGCAAUGCCGCGUGAGUGAUGAA
RNAcentral lists this ribosomal RNA (381 nucleotides) under uncultured bacterium. RNAcentral's name for it is "bacterial SSU rRNA". It matches the Rfam family "Bacterial small subunit ribosomal RNA", at positions 28 to 412 of the family's 1533-position model. The record is from RNAcentral.